RNAcentral lists this unclassified non-coding RNA (232 nucleotides) under Hevea brasiliensis (rubber tree). Lineage: Eukaryota; Viridiplantae; Streptophyta; Magnoliopsida; Malpighiales; Euphorbiaceae. The record is from RNAcentral.
AAUUCGUUUACUCUGCUCCUGUUGAAUGUUACUGAAGUAGGCGCGAGUUGAGAAAAUCGAGAGUUGAAGUUACAGAGAUCGGCUACUUUGUUAAACUCUGGAUGAUUUUGUUGAUAAAUGCGUUUAUUAUAAAUGUUUGGAUCCAUGAGAUAGCGAUUCCAUACUUGACGAUUUAAUUGAGUGAAUUUCUGCUUACCAGUAGCUAACUCAGCGAAUAAGUUGAGGAACUCAG